UAUUUUUACAUAUCUACGAUCACAUAAAAACGAGAUUAACUCAUGCAAUAUGCAGGCAGACAACAAAUAGCUAAUCAAACACCGCAACUUUGCCAGUUUGCACAAGCUAGCAACAGAAUAUCAUAUCUGCUGGAUAAAUUCCCCCUUCCAUCCUCUCACUUGACUUCGCACUGCAAAGAAUCCAGACCAAUUAAGAUAAAACAGCAGACUUCUUUGAUUUCCUGCUCGCGUAAAUCUUUGAAUAUAAGCUCCUGGUUCUGAUCGAUAACAAGACAUCUAAUCCGAAUCCAACGAUACAUGCUAUAGCCAUAACUAUGAACACAAGCCUGUAACAAUGAGCACCUAUACAUGUGUUG
RNAcentral lists this unclassified non-coding RNA (356 nucleotides) under Hevea brasiliensis (rubber tree). The record is from RNAcentral. Lineage: Eukaryota; Viridiplantae; Streptophyta; Magnoliopsida; Malpighiales; Euphorbiaceae.